RNAcentral lists this ribosomal RNA (440 nucleotides) under uncultured Clostridium sp. RNAcentral describes it as "bacterial SSU rRNA". It matches the Rfam family "Bacterial small subunit ribosomal RNA", at positions 338 to 795 of the family's 1533-position model. Lineage: Bacteria; Bacillati; Bacillota; Clostridia; Eubacteriales; Clostridiaceae. The record is from RNAcentral.
CCUACGGGGGGCUGCAGUGGGGAAUAUUGCACAAUGGGCGAAAGCCUGAUGCAGCAACGCCGCGUGAGUGAUGAAGGCCUUCGGGUUGUAAAGCUCUGUCUUUGGGGACGAUAAUGACGGUACCCAAGGAGGAAGCCACGGCUAACUACGUGCCAGCAGCCGCGGUAAUACGUAGGUGGCAAGCGUUGUCCGGAUUUACUGGGCGUAAAGGAUGCGUAGGCGGAUAUUUAAGUGAGAUGUGAAAUUCCCGGGCUUAACUUGGGAGCUGCAUUUCAAACUGGAUAUCUAGAGUGUGGGAGAGGAGAAUGGAAUUCCUAGUGUAGCGGUGAAAUGCGUAGAGAUUAGGAAGAACACCAGUGGCGAAGGCGAUUCUCUGGACCAUAACUGACGCUGAGGCACGAAAGCGUGGGUAGCAAACAGGAUUAGAUACCCGAGUAGUC